RNAcentral lists this ribosomal RNA (497 nucleotides) under uncultured bacterium. Its description in RNAcentral is "partial 16S ribosomal RNA". It matches the Rfam family "Bacterial small subunit ribosomal RNA", at positions 28 to 507 of the family's 1533-position model. The record is from RNAcentral.
GAUGAACGCUGGCGGCGUGCCUUAUACAUGCAAGUCGAGCGGACGGACGAGCAGCUUGCCUCGCUGAUGUUAGCGGCGGGAGGGUGAGUAACACGUGGCUAAACGAUCUUUAUGGCUGGGGUAAAUUCGGGAAACGGGAGCUAAUAACGGAUAAUAUUUUGAACCGGAUGGUUCGAAAGUGAAAGGCGGUCUUGCUGUCACUUGGAGAUUGAUCCGCGCUGCAUUAGCUAGUUGGUAAGGUAACGGCUCACCAAGGCAACGAUGCGUAGCCGAUCUGAGAGGAUGAUCGGCCACACUGGGACUGAGACACGGUCCAGACUCCUACGGGAGGCAGCAGUAGGGAAUUUUCGACAAUGGGCGCAAGCCUGACCCAGCCAUGCCGCGUGAGUGAAGAAGGCCUUCGGAUUGUAAAGCUCUUUCGGUUGGGAAGAAAUCGCAUCCUAUUAUACAUGCUGAGCUUGACGGUACCAACAUAGGAAGCACCGGCUAACUACGUG